AAAAUUCGUUUUCAAUGGCACGUAGCUAUUUUUUCUUUUCUAUUUGUAUUUUCAUUUGCGGUUUCUCUUUUUCAAUUCUAGGUAUAUAUCUUGAUUGUUCGUUUCUAAAUAUCGAAUAUUUAACUUUUCUUCGAGAUCAAAGAAAUUAUUAUUGAAGAAAUAUAAAGCUAUAUGUAAAAUAAGAUAUCUAAGAAGUAUCUAAAUAUAUCUGUGUGUUAUAUACUUCAUGUUUUGACUGAAACUCACUUCGGUUGCUAGGUAACCAAUGUGUAUACAUUACGAGCUUUAUAGCGUGUUUUGCGUUAUAAUACUGUGCGUGUGAUGCGUAUACCUUGCAAAUGAUAUCUUAGAAUUUUAUUAAUUUUAUAAACAAACAUGUUACUCAAGUAUCUUGGUACUGUUAUGCCAGCGCAGGAAUCGGAGAAUAAAGUGAUUAGCAUAGCAUGGUCACCAAACAACUUAAAACUAGCCGUUGCAUCUUCUGAUCGUUCCAUUUACCUCUUCGACGAAAAUGGUGCAAAACGUGACAGAUUCUCCACCAAACCUGUCGAUCCCAAGUUUGGCAAAAAGAGCUACAUGAUAAAGGGAAUAGCUUUCUCCCCGGAGUCUACGAAGAUCGCGGUUGGUCAAACCGAUUGUAUUGUUUAUGUAUAUAAAAUAGGAGAAGACUGGGGCGACAAGAAAGUGAUUUGCAACAAGUUCAAACAGACUUCCGCGGUAACUUGCUUAAUUUGGCCCGUAGGAGGCCCGAUUAUCGUGGGCUUGACAGACGGGAAGGUCCGCGCGGCCCUGGUAAAAUCGCAGAAGGCGCAAACCUUAUACACCUCCGACGCCAUGACGAUAGCUUUGGCUAGCAAUGUUCGUGGUAGUGGCUUUCUGUCGAGUCACGCUGAUGGUAGCAUCAUCCGGUAUUACAUUGCCGAAGACGGCAGUGCGGAACCAUCAGGACGCGUAUGCGUUCACGGUGUGCCUGCUUACGCCUUGGCGUGGCCGCAGUCGCACAUCCUAGCUGCUGGUUGCGACAAACGGCUGACUCUGUACGACUCACAUGGCAAACAGGUGAAGAACUUCGAUUUUAGUCGGGACUCUCAAGAAAGGGAAAUUACCGUAGCCUGCUGCAGCCCGAGCGGCCAGAGCAUUGCCGUGGGCUCGUGGGACAAGGUGCGCAUCCUGGACUGGACGCCACGAAGAGGCGUCUGGGAGGAGACCAACGUGCGCGAUCUUCCAAACUUCUACACGAUCACGGCGCUCGCCUGGAGACGAGACGGCUCGAAAUUGGUAGUUGGAGGAUUGUGCGGUGGUGUUGAACAAUUUGAGACUAUCCUAAGACGCACAGUGGUCCGUGGCAGCCAUGAGGUGGCCUACGUAGGUCCCAGCCAGAUAGUAAUUCGAUCUCUGAGUGAUUCUUCGCAGCGCUCGAUCGUCAUCAGAUCGCAGACAGGUCUGGAGAUCGAGGAUGUACGCGUCUUAGGGCGCAGGGAUAACAACGUGGUAGCUCGCACGGCGCGUACUCUGCUGAUAGGUGACAUCGAACAAGGUCUAAUCAGCGAGAUUCCAUGGGAAGAUCGAUCCAGCAGCGAGAAAUUCUUCUUUGAAUACCCGGUUGUCUGCUUGAUUUUCUAUUCUGGCGAGCUAACAAUCGUCGAAUAUGGGCAAAACGAAGCGCUCGGCUCCGUACGAACCGAGGCUGUGAACCCGCAUGUGAUCAGCGUGCGCGUGAACGAGCGACCCACGUCCGAGGGAGAAGAUAACAAGAAGCUAGCGUAUCUCUUGGAUCCAAGAACAAUCCGUGUAGUUGACUUGAUGACGGGCGCGACCAUCAGCAUGAUCGCCCACGACGCUCGCAUCGACUGGUUGGAGCUAAGUGAGGCAGGUCAUCGACUGCUAUCGCGCGACAAGCGAAGUCGCCUGUGGCUCAGCGACGACGCGGGUAGCAAAGUUUUGCUGGUGACGGGGGUAUCCUUUGCGUCUUGGGUGCCGGGUAGCGACGUUGUCGUCGCUCAGACGGGUCAGACUCUGGCGGUUUGGUACAACGUAGAUGCGCCGGAAGCAGCCACGCUUACGCCGAUCAAAGGCGACGUGGUGGACAUUGUUCGGGAGGAUGGCAAGACGUCUGUAAUGGUCGAGGAAAACGGUGCUAAGGUGGCGUAUGUGUUGGACGAGGGAUUGAUCGAGUUCGGUACGGCGCUGCACGACAAUGACUUUGGCAGAGCCAUUCUGUUCCUGGAGAACAUGGGCGAUAGCCCUCAGGCGGAGACUAUGUGGGAGAACUUGGCUAAAAACGCGAUGAACGAGAGGAAGCUCGCGAUAGCAGCCAGAUGUUACGCCGCGAUGGGUGACGUGGCUUGUACGAAGUUUCUGAAGGAGACCGUCGAGAUUGGUGAAAAGUAUGCCAAGGAAACGGGCAAUGAUCCAAUGGGCAAUCCAGACGUCUGGGCCCGACUGGCUGUGCUGAACGGUGAUCUGAAAACUGCCGAAGCGAUCUACUUGGAACAAAAUGAACUGGACAAGGCGCUGGAGAUGUAUCAACGCUACUGGCACUGGGAAGAAGCUUUGAAUUUGGCCGAGAAUCGGCAGUGGAGUGGUUUGUCCGAGUUACGGGAUCGUCACUUGGCUUGGCUGUUGGACAGCGGUCAGGCAGCUCGCGCGGCCUCUAUCAUAGAAACUACGAACCCCAAAAGAGCCAUUAAGCUCUACCUGGAAGCUAAUCGGCCCGGACGAGCUGCCAGGCUGAUUCUCGCUGACAAUGAAUUGUUGGAAGAUGAGCACAUCGUUGAGGAUGUCAUUAGCGCUCUUAAAGCUACCGAUCUUAUGGAGCUUGCUGGAGAACUGCUGGAGAAAACCGGUGCUGGCGCUGAGGCAAUCAGCUGUUACUCUCAGGCCGGUAUUUUCGCCAGGGCCCUCGAUCUAGCACGUAAAAUUGAUCCUACUAUGGUGGUCGAGCUCGAGAGGGAUUGGGGGAAGCAUUUGGCAACGGGUGGCCAUUACGACGCAGCUAUCAAUCACUUUAUUGAAGCAGGCGAGACAAUAUCGGCGCUGAAGGCCGCUAUUAACGCGCGUCAAUGGAGAAAGGCUCUACAAAUUAUACAAGUGAUCGAAGAUGACGAUCCUGAAAUUCAGCUGCAAUGCGAGAAGUUGGGCGAGUACUUUUCGUCGAUCGGUGAACGAAGCCUGGCCGAGAAUCUUUUUAUUCGCGCCGGAAACGCGCGACGUGCCGUGGAAACUCAUGUGCAGUCGGGCAAUUGGAUGCGUGCGCAUCAGGUAGCUCAAGAACACAUGAAUACCGAUGAAGCCAACGAAGUGCUGGCAAAGCACGCUGAGAGUCUACAGCAAGCUGGCGAAUAUCGUCACGCCGAGGCGCUCUACGUGGCGAUCGGCGAUCACGAUGCAGCGAUCGCUAUGUAUCGUAAGGAAGGGCAUCGUAGCGACAUGGUCAGGCUGGUUGCUGACCAUCGGCCGGACCUCCUUCAUACUACUCACGCACAUCUGGCGAGGGAGCUGGAGGCAGCCGGCAAGCCAAGAGAAGCCGAAGAAUACUUCCUAGGUGCUGGUGAUUGGCGCGGAGCGGUCACAGCUUACAGGUCCGUGAAUAUGUGGGAGGACGCGUUAAGGGUUGCCAAGAAGGCUUCGGGCGAACAAGCAGCACAGCAGGUUGCCUUGAUGUGGGCCCGAACACUGGCUCCGGAAUUGGGUGCUAGAUUGUUAAUGCGUCUGAAUUAUUUGGAGCCUUGCCUGCAGCUGGCAUGCGAGACCAACUUGUUUGAGUGGGCCUUGGAAAUCUCAAAAUACGGCACGAUGGAUCAAAAGAAGGAGGUCCACUAUCGCUAUGCUAUGGCGCUCGAGGACGAGGGCCGCUUUGCUGAGGCUGAGAAGGAGUUCGUACAGGCUGGCAAGGCUAUGGAGGCGGUGCAGAUGUACAUACACUCCCGCGACUGGGAAUCCGCCGAGGAUGUCGCGCGAUCGCAUAGUCAAGAGGCGGUGGCGCAAGUUCUGAUUGCCCGUGCUGCUGAAGCCGCAGAAGCACAAGAUUACGCAACGGCGGAAACCCUUCUUCUAAGGGCCCACAAACCGGAGAUGAUUAUUGAACAUUAUAAAACUGCUGGAAUGUGGUCUGAAGCACUACGAGUGUGUCGAGAGUAUCUGCCAAGUCAAGAGGCUGCCCUACGCAGGGAGUUGGGUCAGAAGAGCGCGGGAUUGGACGGAGCGAACGCCCUGGAGGAAGCUCGCAAGUGGCUUGAACUCGGGGAAGUGCGACCUGCCCUGGACACCCUGAUCCUGAAUCCACAAGCACCGAGGCCUUAUCUUAUUCGUGCGGCUGAUAUUCUUUUACAUCAGGCGGAUCCUGAAACGGCAGCGGAGAUUGGCGGUGAUCUGGGUGCGCGCUUGUUCUCCGUUGGUGAACACGCGCUCGCCGCUCAGGUAUUCCUUCAGGCGGAUCGACUGAAGGACGCGGUGAGUUCGCUAGUGGCGGUCGGCGAGUGGGAUCGUGCACGUCGGAUUGUUCGCGAGCUCGCUCCAGAUCUCGAGUCGUAUCUUGAAGAAAAGUAUCGGGAUGCUAUGGCAAGUGACGAUCAAAUGGAGCGAUUAGCGGGGACGAAUGGCAAUGCCGCCCUCGAGAUGAUGGCACGCAAGGGUCAAUGGAGUCAGCUGUUCGAGGCCGCGAAUUCGCAAGGGCCGGAAGUAUUGCACAGAUUCGUGGCGCGACGUGCCGCACAAUUGCUGAAGAGCGACUCCGCACCGCAAGCGCUACAACUUUACGCGCAGUACGGCGCACCCGCGAUAUCGCAGAACUACAAUCUCUAUUUCCAGCUGGCUGAGAACAUCCUGAAUGAGAAGCAGCAGGAAUACAGAUAUCUAGCCCAACUGCGUGACAUCCUGCAUGGUCUCUGCCGCUCGUCGCCGUCUUCCGACAAGUUCGAGCGACUGCUGCAAGCUGCGCAUCUUUCCGCGGUGAAGCACGGCUGCCGUUCGUACCCAGCACUUACCAGCAUUGUAGUUAAAGUGUCUGUCAGCCUUCUGCGAUAUACCGAUGUCCUCCUCGCCGACAGAUUCUACUACGAAGCCGGCAUUGCAGCGCGUUCCGCGGGUCUCCUGAGCGAAGCCUUUGUCUUUCUCAAUCACUUUCUUGACCUGGAAGAGUGCAUCGAGGAGGAGGGUGACGGCAACGUUCUCGACGUGGACGACCUACGCGUAAGCGACUUCCCGCUCGAAGUUCCGCUUCCGGAACGCCUCGGCGUCGCGGCAGAUCAACGCGAGGAGGCAAGGGAGUGGGUGCUGGCGGUGUCCAUGGAUCAAAAGAUUGAGCAAGGCUUGCCGGUUGAUCAGAGAGGUGUCUAUGUGGGCUCACUGACGUCACCGACUAACUCCGGUACGCUUCUUCAGCAAUGCGUGAUCACGGGAUAUCCGGUACGCGGCCCAGUCGUCAAAUUCGAGGAGACCAAUCGCGUGGCUGAUCGAGACGACUGGACCAAACUGGUCCACACGGCCAGACAAGCGCCUCUAGAUUCACCGCUGAACGACAUCUUGGUGUUUCUUCAGGAAUGGUGUGGCACGGUACCCAAAUAUUCAUUUUAAAAAGAGCUUUCAGUUAACAAAUUUUAACAAAUUUGAAUCGAAUUUUUCAUUUGAAGAUAAAUGAUGAACGACACAAAGAAUCAUGAUUAUUUUUUUCUGUUUAGAAUAGAAAAUGAAAUAAUGUAAAAUAAUUAAAAACUCAUCAAAUUCAUCAAAUUGUUCUCCGAUAUACUUCUUUCAACACGUUCGUCGUAUGGAGUAGCUAAUGAAGGGAUUUGAGGGAGUAGCAGGCAACUGGGGAUGAUGAUUAACCACUUGAACUUUCAGAUACUUUAAGCGGUCUAAGGAAAGGUGUUGGAAGAAAAAGAAGACAGCAAGAAGACGGCGACACAGCUCCCGUCCAGACUGAUACGAUCCUUACCUUCCUUCAGGAAUUCGUGAAAGCCAGUUGAUCGCCGCCAUUAAACGCUCGACGAUUAAUUUAAAUAAAUGCGUCGCCGUUAUAACCGCAGAGACACUUACUUGCAUGAAAAAUAGCGGAUAUUCAAAUGGGGGAGAAGUCUUCGCUGAAAAGUCACGAGGGACUAAUCUUCUGACGGAUCGCGGGAUUUCCCCUUAAAAUAUUCAGACGAAGAACUGUAGAAGAGUGGUUUAAUUAAUUACGGGAUUACGUGCGGGAAUUUCGGUCACUAUGAAAAUUUGUAUUGUUAAUAUUGAUAUAAUACGCAAAUAAAAAUUAAAUUAUCUCUGAAAAUGUUAAGCUAUUCAAAGUAGAUGAUUUGAUUUUUAUCUGUGACGGUCUCUCAAGAAAUUAAGUCUCUUAUUUUAUCAACAAUGCUGAACGAGUGUCCAAAGGGCAUCGGAUAAAGUUUAGAAUUUUAUAUAUAUUAUAAUAUAAAACAUUUAGAGUACAGGGAGGAUAUUUAGGGAUAAAAAAGAGAGAGAGAGAAGGGUAAAAAAAGAAACGAUAAAUGGGGCUGUGAAUGCACAUAAAAAAUUGGUAUAUAUAAUAACAAUAAUAUAUAUAAUAUAUAUAACAUAUAUGCAAUGU
This 6565-nucleotide unclassified non-coding RNA is filed under the name Ooceraea biroi (clonal raider ant). RNAcentral's name for it is "intraflagellar transport protein 172 homolog, transcript variant X1". The record is from RNAcentral. Lineage: Eukaryota; Metazoa; Arthropoda; Insecta; Hymenoptera; Formicidae.